This 976-nucleotide long non-coding RNA is filed under the name Anas platyrhynchos platyrhynchos (common mallard). RNAcentral describes it as "lncRNA (ENSAPLG00000019571.1)". Lineage: Eukaryota; Metazoa; Chordata; Aves; Anseriformes; Anatidae. The record is from RNAcentral.
AUGAACCAACUAAAGGGCCAAAUCUCAUGUACUCAGGUGUCCCUCUGUUGCAACCCUGCUUCAGCUAGGACUUGCAACCACCUUUACCCUUACCUUGAGGACCUGAGAAAAGAUGCAGAUGAAAGUCUCUUCACUGUUUGGUGUCUGAACAGGAGAGCACCAGCUGCACUGGAGGUAUGGGCCCCAAAUACUCAUGUGCUAAAAGUGCCUGAAAAUGUUCCCAGGCUCUGGCUGCUGGACCAGGGAACAGACCACAUUUUUGCUUAUAAAUUCCCUCACUCUCUGAAACUAGGUGGCUGCCUGAAAAUGUGCCUGUUGGAAAUCAUCCCAGGAAUAUUUGAACUCCCAAGCUGGCUUUGGAAAUUUUUUGAAAGAGUGUUAGAUGGCAUUGUCCAAAAGUGUGCCAGGACAUGCUCUGACAGUUUUGGGAAUGCCUCUAUUAGGAAAAGAGCCGAAUAAGAACAGAUCUGUGGAAGAAAGCGUCUGGUGCUAAGGAUUGCAUCCAAACUGACCUUCACACUGUGUAUUUCAGAGGGUUUUACUGUUAUUUUACUGUUGUUCAACUCUACUUUGCUCCUGUGUCCAUUAGCAAUCAAAGUGCAUUAGACGCCCUCUGAGACUGCUUCUGCAGGUUUAUUUUUAUCUGAAAGGAAUUCAUUUUGCACAUUCCAAACUUGAUCUGAACCAAAGAGCGGGAAGUAGGAACUACUGGGGGAUUUACUUCAAAAAUGCAUCCUGAUCUUAACUGUGAUGUUACCGCAGAUAUACCUACAACUGUGUCCCAAAGUCUGAGAACAUUCUCAAACACAGUUUAAUUUACCUUUUCACAAAGUUCAAUUGCACAUAAAAAUUGUGUGAGGCUUUGGCAGACUAAGUGUAAUUUGGAUUUUAAAUUUUAUUGCUAAAAUUGAGCAAAUCUUUGAUUGUUUGAACUGUCAUUUUUCAAGUGCUUAAAAUAAAUUUGGGAAACUUUGCA